Molecule: non-coding RNA, 1396 nt
Organism: Sus scrofa (pig)
Lineage: Eukaryota; Metazoa; Chordata; Mammalia; Artiodactyla; Suidae
Source: RefSeq, a predicted model, not a curated record
UGUUUAAAAAAAAAAAAAAAGUCAAAUGAAAAGAUGUUGAUAAAAGAAUUGUAAAUUCAAGGAGGUUCAGAGUCAGUGGGGUUUUCCAAGGGAAAUAUUGACAUCAAUUGUUAAAUUGCUGAGGCAUCGGGGAGGUAGAAAGAUAUGGGAGCUGCUUCUAGAGAAAGUAAAGAAAUAAGUCUUUGACCACAUUGUGGGUCAAGACACAACCGAGGCACUGAUGAGAAAGUGCAGACCUGCCAAGGACUCAGGAUGUUCUGACAGGGAAAGGAGGGGAAUAGGGAAGAGGAAUCUUGGAUGAAAAUAGGCUUUUGGUUUGUACUUAAAGACGGUGAGUCUCUGGUUGCAGCCCAAAGGCAUCCGAGCUCCAGGGAUACAAAUGGAGGACCAUCCAGAGAGGGGUUAUUAAAAAGGGCUCCAAGGCAGGAGGAGGAUAGAAGAGACACCAGGUCAAGCAGAAUGAAGCCAGAUGAUCAAAUCAUGAAGAAGGACAACAUUCCUGACACUAGCAAGGGGAAGGCCCUUCUUCCUCUAGAGAAAAAGGCACUGCUCCAUCCAGCCUUGAAGGCCAUUCUGCCGCUCUCUAGUUUCACCAUAUGUGGCAUAUAACCCCAAUCUAGGGGUCAAAUCAGAGCUGCAGCUGCUGCCCUACACCACAGCAACAGAAAUGUGAUAUCUGAGCACCUCUGCAACUGACACCACAGCUCAAGGAAACACCAGAUCCUUACCCACCGAGUGGGGCCAGGGAUGGAAACUGCGUCCUCAGGGCUACAACUUGGGUUCAUUACCACUGAGCCAUAGCAAAAUGUCCAAAAAUUUUUUUCACAAAGAUUUUUACACAAAUGCUCACAGCAGCUUCAUUCACAAAUGUGGAAACUUGCAAACAAUUCCAUGUUUAAACCCUAAAGCACAUGGCCAAUCUCACUCUACAAGAGUAAACUGGAAUCAAAUGUCGUGAAUGUUUCUCUUUUGAAAAAAGCACAUGUUCUUGGGGGGUAGGAAAUUUCUCUAGGAGAUCAAUUGUUAACUGUGCUAUUCACAUCUUCUGUUUGUUCCAUUGGUUGAUUCUGAGAGAGGUGUAUUCCUCUUCCACUGUUAAUUGUGGGUCUGUCAUAUUCACUAUUUAUUCUCAGUUUUUGUUUUAUACAUUUCAAAAUUAUGAUACUAUGUUUGUAAAAUACAUGACUCAUAACCUGUGCCUUUAAUCAACAUGAAACACCUUUAUGUUUUUGUAAUGCUUUUGUCUUAAAUUCUAUUUUGUCUGAUAUGUUUGCUUUCUGUAAACAUUUGCCUAGGAAGCCACUUUCCAUUCCUUUUUUUUCUUUUUUUAAAAAAUUUUUGGCCACGCCUGCAGCAUGCAGGAAGUUCCCAGGCCAGGGAUCAAACCAGUGACAAC